RNAcentral lists this non-coding RNA (93 nucleotides) under uncultured Ruminococcus sp. Lineage: Bacteria; Bacillati; Bacillota; Clostridia; Eubacteriales; Oscillospiraceae. The record is from RNAcentral.
CACAGGGGUGCUGACGCGAAAGUCGGCUGAGAUUGGGAUAGACGUUUCUCUGACCCUUAACCUGAUACGGAUAAUGCCGUCGUAGGGAGCUUU